AUACGGAGGGUGCAAGCGUUAAUCGGAAUUACUGGGCGUAAAGCGCGCGUAGGCGGCUUGAUAAGUCGGAUGUGAAAUCCCUGGGCUCAACCUAGGAACUGCAUCCGAUACUGUCAAGCUAGAGUUUUGGAGAGGUAAGUGGAAUUUCCGGUGUAGCGGCGAAAUGCAUAGAGAUCGGAAGGAACACCAGUGGCGAAGGCGACUUACUGGCCAAAAACUGACGCUGAGGUGCGAAAGCGUGGGUAGCGAACAGGAUUAGAAACCCUAGUAGUCC
This 274-nucleotide ribosomal RNA is filed under the name uncultured bacterium. RNAcentral's name for it is "partial 16S ribosomal RNA". It matches the Rfam family "Bacterial small subunit ribosomal RNA", at positions 523 to 796 of the family's 1533-position model. The record is from RNAcentral.